GAUAGAUCUACACGAACUAGGACAACCUUUACACUAUAAGGGGUAAACCUUACAGCAGGACAACCUACAGUUUGUGAUUGAUCUAUAAAUUUUAAUUUUAGAUUUAAUAAUUAGAUUAUAAAUUAGAUCUAAUCUAAAAAAUAAUCUAAGCAUAUAUAAAUAAUCAUGUAACAAACAACCUAGGCUCUGAUACCAAUUGAAGGAACCAGAUCUAGGGUUUUAGGGUUAGAUCUUGAAACUUUUUCAAGAUCAAACAGCGGAAGACUAAAAUAAAUCAAAAUUUAUCUUAUAAAAUUAGAGAAUACGUAGAUCUAAGAUCCAAUUAUAUGAUUAUUAUAUGGCAUUAAAUCAAAAAUUAAAAUAUAAAGAGCAAGAACUACAUGUUGAUCAUAUCAACAUAUUUCUAUACUACAUCUAAUGUAUGUUAAAUAUAAUAGAUC
Molecule: long non-coding RNA, 440 nt
Filed under: Elaeis guineensis (African oil palm)
Lineage: Eukaryota; Viridiplantae; Streptophyta; Magnoliopsida; Arecales; Arecaceae
Description: long non-coding RNA (EGUI_LNC050489)
Source: RNAcentral